UACGUAGGCAGCAAGCGUUGUUCGGAGUUACUGGCGUAAAGGGUGCGUAGGCGGCGCGGUAAGUCGGGUGUGAAAUCUCGGAGCUUAACUCCGAAACUGCAUUCGAUACUGCCGUGCUUGAGGACUGGAGAGGAGACUGGAAUUUACGGUGUAGCGGUGAAAUGCGUAGAUAUCGUAAGGAAGACCAGUGGCGAAGGCGGGUCUCUGGACAGUUCCUGACGCUGAGGCACGAAGGUCAGGGGAGCAAACGGG
Molecule: ribosomal RNA, 252 nt
Filed under: uncultured bacterium
Lineage: Bacteria
Description: partial 16S ribosomal RNA
Rfam family: Bacterial small subunit ribosomal RNA
Source: RNAcentral